Molecule: unclassified non-coding RNA, 243 nt
Filed under: uncultured Calycellina
Lineage: Eukaryota; Fungi; Ascomycota; Leotiomycetes; Helotiales; Hyaloscyphaceae
Description: partial contains 5.8S ribosomal RNA, internal transcribed spacer 2, and large subunit ribosomal RNA
Source: RNAcentral
AACGCACAUUGCUCCCCUUGGUAUUCCGGGCGGCAUGCCUGUUCGAGCGUCAUUUCAACCCUCAAGCAUAGCUUGGUCUUGGGCCCUGCCGGCAACGGCUGGCCUUAAAGCUAGUGGCGGUGCCGUCGAGCUCUACGCGUAGUAGUUAAACCCUCGCGUGUGAGUCCCGGUGGACGCUGGCCAGCAACCCCCUAUUUUUCUAUGGUUGACCUCGGAUCAGGUAGGGAUACCCGCUGAACUUAA